CUGGCGGCGCGUUUAAGCAUGCAAGUCGAGCGGCAACGGCCGUCGGGCCCUAGAGCGGCGGACGGGUGAGUAACACGUGGACAAUCUGCCCCCCGGCCCGGGAUAGCCCCAGGGAAACCUGGAUUAAUACCGGAUGAGACGGGACCCGCGAUGGCGGGAUCCGGGAAAGGCGCUGCGGCGCCGCCGGGGGAUGAGUCUGCGUCCCAUUAGCUAGACGGCGGGGUAACGGCCCACCGUGGCGACGAUGGGUAGCCGGCCUGAGAGGGUGGACGGCCACAUUGGAACUGAGACACGGUCCAGACUCCUACGGGAGGCAGCAGCUAAGAAUCUUCCGCAAUGGGCGAAAGCCUGACGGAGCCGACGCCGCGUGAACGAAGAAGGCCGUGAGGUUGUAAAGUUCUUUUCGGGAGGGGGAACAACCGUGGCAGGGAAUGGCCGCGGGAUGACGUGAAUCCCGGAAUAAGCCCCGGCUAACUACGUGCCAGCCGCGGC
Molecule: ribosomal RNA, 492 nt
Filed under: uncultured bacterium
Lineage: Bacteria
Description: bacterial SSU rRNA
Rfam family: Bacterial small subunit ribosomal RNA
Source: RNAcentral